RNAcentral lists this ribosomal RNA (497 nucleotides) under uncultured bacterium. RNAcentral describes it as "partial 16S ribosomal RNA". It matches the Rfam family "Bacterial small subunit ribosomal RNA", at positions 28 to 507 of the family's 1533-position model. The record is from RNAcentral.
GAUGAACGCUGGCGGCGUGCCUAACACAUGCAAGUCGAACGGACAGGCGCUGCGCUUGCUCCGCUCUCGUUAGCGGAGCGGGUGAGAAACACGCGUGUAUCCCCUCCCUGUAUGACUGGGAACACUUCGAGACACCGGCUCAAAUCCCGUAUAAUAUCUUGCACCGCGGGGUGCAAUGGAAAAAGUCGGUUUUUCGGUCUGUUAUAGAUGCAUCCGCGCCGCAUUAGCUAGUUGGGACGGUAACGGCUUACCAAGGCUAGGAUGCGUAACCGACCGGAGGGGGUGGUCGCCCACACUGGAAGUGAGACACGGACCAGACUCCUGCGGGAGGCAGCAGUAGGGAAUCGUCGGCAGUGGGCGAGAGCCUGACGGAGCGGCGCCGCGUGUGUGACGAAGGUCUUCGGAUCGUAAAACUCUGCUAUUAGGUAUGAACAAAUGUGGAAGGAACUAUGGACGUCGUGACGGUACCUAAUCAGAAAGCCACGGCUAACUACGUG